AGAGUUUGAUCCUGGCUCAGGAUGAACGCUGGCGGCAUGCCUAACACAUGCAAGUCGAACGGGGUUUAUAUGACAGAACUCUCCGGAGGGAAGAUAUAUAAACCUAGUGGCGGACGGGUGAGUAACGCGUGGGCAACCUGCCCUGUACCGGGGGACAACAGCCAGAAAUGGCUGCUAAUACCGCAUAAGCCUGCUGUGCCGCAUGGCACAGCAGGGAAAACCACGGUGGUACAGGAUGGGCCCGCGUCUGAUUAGUUAGUUGGCAGGGUAACGGCCUACCAAGACAACGAUCAGUAGCCGGCUUGAGAGAGUGGACGGCCACAUUGGGACUGAGACACGGCCCAGACUCCUGCGGGAGGCAGCAGUGGGGAAUAUUGCACAAUGGGGGGAACCCUGAUGCAGCAAUGCCGCGUGGGUGAAGAAGCACUCCGGUGCGUAAAGCCCUGUCAGCAGGGAAGAAAAUGACAGUACCUGGACAAGAAGCCCCGGCUAACUACGUGCCAGCAGCCGCGGUAAUACGUAGGGGGCAAGCGUUAUCCGGAUUUACUGGGUGUAAAGGGAGCGC
RNAcentral lists this ribosomal RNA (565 nucleotides) under uncultured bacterium. RNAcentral describes it as "bacterial SSU rRNA". It matches the Rfam family "Bacterial small subunit ribosomal RNA", at positions 8 to 572 of the family's 1533-position model. The record is from RNAcentral.